UUACCUACUCUUGACAUCCAGAGAACUUUCCAGAGAUGGAUUGGUGCCUUCGGGAACUUUGAGACAGGUGCUGCAUGGCUGUCGUCAGCUCGUGUUGUGAAAUGUUGGGUUAAGUCCCGCAACGAGCGCAACCCUUAUCCUUUGUUGCCAGCGGUUCGGCCGGGAACUCAAAGGAGACUGCCAGUGAUAAACUGGAGGAAGGUGGGGAUGACGUCAAGUCAUCAUGGCCCUUACGAGUAGGGCUACACACGUGCUACAAUGGCGUAUACAAAGAGAAGCGACCUCGCGAGAGCAAGCGGACCUCAUAAAGUACGUCGUAGUCCGGAUUGGAGUCUGCAACUCGACCCAUGAAGUCGGAAUCGCUAGUAAUCGUA
This 374-nucleotide ribosomal RNA is filed under the name uncultured Serratia sp. RNAcentral describes it as "bacterial SSU rRNA". It matches the Rfam family "Bacterial small subunit ribosomal RNA", at positions 971 to 1346 of the family's 1533-position model. Lineage: Bacteria; Pseudomonadati; Pseudomonadota; Gammaproteobacteria; Enterobacterales; Yersiniaceae. The record is from RNAcentral.